UGAUGUAAAGUGAAGAGGAAGAAAGGAAGAAAGGAAGAAAGGAAGAAAGGAAGAAAGGAAGAAAGGAAGAAAGGAAGAAAGGAAGAAAGGAAGAAAGGAAGAAAGGAAGAAAGGAAGAAAGGAAGAAAGGAAGAAAGAAAGAAAGAAAGAAAGAAAGAAAGAAAGAAAGAAAGAAAGAAAGAAAGAAAGAAAGAAAGAAAGAACACUGGGCUCUCUAGAACUCACAUGUACCA
RNAcentral lists this long non-coding RNA (233 nucleotides) under Monodelphis domestica (gray short-tailed opossum). Its description in RNAcentral is "lncRNA (ENSMODG00000041371.1)". Lineage: Eukaryota; Metazoa; Chordata; Mammalia; Didelphimorphia; Didelphidae. The record is from RNAcentral.